Molecule: ribosomal RNA, 301 nt
Filed under: uncultured bacterium
Lineage: Bacteria
Description: partial 16S ribosomal RNA
Rfam family: Bacterial small subunit ribosomal RNA
Source: RNAcentral
CAGUCGCCGCGGGAAUACGUAGGGUGCAAGCGUUAAUCGGAAUUACUGGGCGUAAAGCGUGCGCAGGCGGUUUGUUAAGACAGAUGUGAAAUCCCCGGGCUCAACCUGGGAACUGCAUUUGUGACUGGCAGGCUAGAGUAUGGCAGAGGGGGGUGGAAUUCCGCGUGUAGCAGUGAAAUGCGUAGAUAUGCGGAGGAACACCGAUGGCGAAGGCAGCCCCCUGGGCCAAUACUGACGCUCAUGCACGAAAGCGUGGGGAGCAAACAGGAUUAGAUACCCCUGUAGUCCCUGUCUCUUAUAC